GAGUUUGAUCAUGGCUCAGAACGAACGUUGGUUGGCACGCUUAACACAUGCCAGUCGAACGAGAAACCCGAGCUUGCUCGGGUGGACAGUGGCAGACGGCUUAGUAACGCGUGGGUAUCUACCUAGACGUUUGGAACAACUAUUGGAAACGAUUGCUAAUACCAGAUAUUCCCUAAGGGGGAAAAAUUUAUCGCCUUUAGAUGAGCCCGCGUCGGAUUAGCUUGUUGGUAGGGUAAAGGCCUACCAAGGCAACGAUCCGUAGCUGGUCUGAGAGGAUGAUCACCAAGAUUGGGACUGAGACACGGCCCAGACUCCUACCGGAGGCAGCAGUGGGGAAUAUUGCGCAAUGGGGGAAACCCUGACGCAGCGAUGCCGCGUGAGUGAAGAAUGCCUUAGGGUUGUAAAACUCUUUCACCGGUGAAGAUAAUGACGGUAGCCGGAGAAGAAGCCCCGGCUAACUCCGUGCCAGCAGCCGCGGUAAUACGGAGGGGGCUAACGUUGUUCGGAAUUACUGGGCGUAAAGCGCGCGUAGGCGGAUUAGACAGUUGAGGGUGAAAUCCCGGAGCUUAACUCCGGAACUGCCUUCAAUACUACUAAUCUUGAGUUCGGAAGAGGUGAGUGGAAUUCCUAGUGUAGAGGUGAAAUUCGUAGAUAUUAGGAAGGACAUCAGUGGCGAAGGCGACUCACUGGUCCGAUACUGACGCUGAGGUGCGAAGCGUGGGGAGCAAACAGGAUUAGAUACCCUGGUAGUCCACGCCGUAAACGAUGGAAGCUAGUUAGUCGGGCGGCAUGCCGUUCUGUGACACAGCUAACGCAUUAAGCUUCCCGCCUGGGGAGUACGAUCGCAAGAUUAAAACUCAAAGGAAUUGACGGGGGCCCGCACAAGCGGUGGAGCAUGUGGUUUAAUUUGAAGCAACGCGCAGAACCUUACCAGCCCUUGACAUUCCGGUCGCAGAAAGUAGAGAUAUCUUCUUUCAGUUAGGCUGGACCGGUGACAGGUGCGGCAUGGCUGACGUCAGCUCGGGUCGUGAGAUGUUGGGUUAAGUCCCGCAACGAGCGCAACCCUCGCCUUUAGUUGCCAUCAUUAAGUUGGGCACUCUAGAGGGACUGCCGGUGAUAAGCCGGAGGAAGGUGGGGAUGACGUCAAGUCCUCAUGGCCCUUAUGGGCUGGGCUACACACGUGCUACAAUGGUACUUACAAUGGGACGCGAAGAGGCGACUCUUAGCUAAUCCCUAAAAUGUACCUCAGUUCGGAUUGUACUCUGUAACUCGAGUGCAUGAAGCUGGAAUUGCUAGUAAUCGCGGAUCAGCGCGCCGCGGUGAAUACGUUCCCGGGUGUUGUACACACCGCCCGUCACACCAUGGAAGUUGGUUACACCUUAAGGCAAAGCUUAUACCUUUGACUACGGUACGAUCAGCAACUGGGGUGGGGUCGUAACAAGGUAACC
This 1448-nucleotide ribosomal RNA is filed under the name uncultured marine bacterium. RNAcentral describes it as "bacterial SSU rRNA". It matches the Rfam family "Bacterial small subunit ribosomal RNA". The record is from RNAcentral.